CUGCGGUGCAUUAGAUAGUUGGUGGGGUAAUGGCCUACCAAGUCGACGAUGCAUAGCUGAACUGAGAGGUUGAUCGGCCACAUUGGGACUGAGACACGGCCCAAACUCCUACGGGAGACAGCAGUUAGGAAUAUUCGUCAAUGGGGGAAACCCUGAACGAGCAAUGCCGCGUGAACGAUGACGGUCCUCUGGAUUGCAAAGUUCUGUUGUUUGGAAAGAAUUGUACUAAUAGGAAAUGAUUAGUGCUUGACGGUACCAUUCAAGAAAGCCACGGCUAACUACGUGCCAGCAGCCGCGGUAAUACGUAGGUGGCAAGCGUUAUCCGGAUUUAUUGGGCGUAAAGCGUCCGCAGCCGGUUUAUUAAGUAUAGAAUUAAAGCCUGAGGCUCAACCUCAGUUCGUUCUAUAAACUGAUAAGCUAGAGUGUGGUAGAGGCAAGUGGAAUUUCUAGUGUAGCGGUAGAAUGCGUAGAUAUUAGAAGGAACACCAGUGGCGAAGGCGACUUGCUGGGCCACCACUGACGGUCAGGGACGAAAGCGUGGGGAGCAAAUAGGAUUAGAUACCCUAGUAGUCCACGCCGUAAACGAUGAGUACUAAGUGUCGGUUUUCCGGUGCUGAAGUUAACACAUUAAGUACUCCGCCUGAGUAGUACGGUCGCAAGGCUGCAACUCAAG
This 673-nucleotide ribosomal RNA is filed under the name uncultured Bacillota bacterium. RNAcentral describes it as "bacterial SSU rRNA". It matches the Rfam family "Bacterial small subunit ribosomal RNA", at positions 231 to 905 of the family's 1533-position model. Lineage: Bacteria; Bacillati; Bacillota. The record is from RNAcentral.